Molecule: long non-coding RNA, 101 nt
Organism: Seriola dumerili (greater amberjack)
Lineage: Eukaryota; Metazoa; Chordata; Actinopteri; Carangiformes; Carangidae
Exons: 3
Source: RefSeq, a predicted model, not a curated record
AGGGAAGGACCACCAGGACCUGAUGGUAAGCCUGGUAAAGACGGGAAUCCUGGGGAACCUGGCCCUCAUGGAUUACCAGGGUUGAAGGGUGAAGAUGGCCC